GACGAACGCUGGCGGCGUGCUUAACACAUGCAAGUCGAACGGAAAGGCCCUGCUUGCAGGGUGCUCGAGUGGCGAACGGGUGAGUAACACGUGGGUGAUCUGCCCCUUACUUUGGGAUAAGCCUGGGAAACUGGGUCUAAUACUGGAUAGGACCAUGCUGUAGGUGGUGUGGUGGAAAGAUUAGUUUCGGUAAGGGAUGAGCUCGCGGCCUAUCAGCUUGUUGGUGGGGUAAUGGCCUACCGAGGCGUCGACGGGUAGCCGGCCUGAGAGGGUGGACGGCCACAUUGGGACUGAGAUACGGCCCAGACUCCUACGGGAGGCAGCAGUGGGGAAUAUUGCACAAUGGGCGCAAGCCUGAUGCAGCGACGCCGCGUGGGGGAUGACGGCCUUCGGGUUGUAAACUCCUUUCAGCCAUGACGAAGCCCUUGUGGUGACGGUAGUGGUAGAAGAAGCACCGGCUAACUACGUG
Molecule: ribosomal RNA, 469 nt
Filed under: uncultured bacterium
Lineage: Bacteria
Description: partial 16S ribosomal RNA
Rfam family: Bacterial small subunit ribosomal RNA
Source: RNAcentral